This 305-nucleotide ribosomal RNA is filed under the name uncultured bacterium. RNAcentral's name for it is "bacterial SSU rRNA". It matches the Rfam family "Bacterial small subunit ribosomal RNA", at positions 333 to 630 of the family's 1533-position model. The record is from RNAcentral.
GGAUACCUACGGGGCGCAGCAGUAGGGAAUCUUCGGCAAUGGGCGAAAGCCUGACCGAGCAACGCCGCGUGAAUGAAGAAGGCCUUCGGGUUGUAAAAUUCUGUUAUAAGGGAAGAAAGGUGAUAGGAGGAAAUGACUAUCAAUUGACGGUACCUUAUGAGAAAGUCAUGGCUAACUACGUGCCAGCAGCCGCGGUAAUACGUAGGUGGCAAGCGUUAUCCGGAAUUAUUGGGCGUAAAGAGCGCGCAGGUGGUUAAUUAAGUCUGAUGUGAAAGCCCACGGCUUAACUGUGGAGGGUCAUUGGU